CUGGAAUUUUGGAUUUGGGAAUGCUGGGGGCACCAUCAGCGAGACAACUGGGGAUUUUGGAAUGCCACAGGGGCUGGCAGCGGGACGGGUGGGAAUGCCGGGAUUGGGAAUGCCGGGAGUGCCAGGGGGCUGGCAGUGGGAUGGCUGGGAAUUCUGGGAUUUGGGAUCUGGGAAUGCUGGGGGCACCAUCAAUGAGACAGGUGGGGUUUUGGGAUUUGGGAAUGCUGGGAAUGCCACAGUGGCUGGCAGCUGGACGGGUGGGAAUGCCAAAGGGGCUGGCAGCAGGAUGGCUGGGAAUGCCGGGAUCUGGGAUUUGGGAUCUGGGAAUGCUGGGGGCACCAUCAGCGAGACAGGUAGGGAUUUGGGAUGGUAUUCCCAUGGACCUGGGAUUUGGGAAUUCCGGGGAAUCCAUGCCCUGACAGGUGGGAUUCUCACGGAUCCAGAAUUCGGGGAUUCCGGGGGUAGCUGUUACCUGACAGGUGGGAUUCCCAUGGAUUUGGGGAUUCCGGGGGAUCCGUGCCCUGACGGGUGGGAUCCCCAUGGAUUUGGGAAUUCCAGGGGAUCGGUGCCCUGACGGGUGGGAUCCCCAUGGAUUUGGGGAUUCCGGGGGAUCCGUGCCCUGCUGGGUGGGAUCCCCAUGGAUUUGGGGAUUCCGGGGGAUCCCUGCCCUGCUGGGUGGGAUCCCCAUGGAUUUGGGAAUUCCGGGGUUCCCCUGCAGGCGGGUUGUUCUUCUGGGGCGCCACCAACACGUCCCGGGAGUCCACCAUGUACCCCAAGGCGGUGCAGGACCUGUGCGGGUGGAGGAUCCGCAGCCUGGCCUGCGGGAAGAGCUCCGUCAUCGUGGCGGCCGACGAGAGCACCAUCAGCUGGGGGCCCUCGCCCACCUUCGGGGAGCUGGUACGCCCCGAAAACCCCAAAGGAAACCCCAGAAACUCCAAAGGAAACCCCAGAAACUCCAAAGGAACCCCAAAAACCCCAAAGGAAUACCAAAAACCCAAAGGAAACCCCAGAAACCCCAAAGGAAUCCCAGAAACCCCAAAGGAACCCUAAAAACCUCAAAGGAACCCCAA
RNAcentral lists this long non-coding RNA (1070 nucleotides) under Lonchura striata (white-rumped munia). RNAcentral's name for it is "domestica (Bengalese finch) lncRNA (ENSLSDG00000001792.1)". The record is from RNAcentral. Lineage: Eukaryota; Metazoa; Chordata; Aves; Passeriformes; Estrildidae.